CGGCGGACGGGUGAGUAACACGUGGAUAACCUACCUAUAAGACUGGGAUAACUUCGGGAAACCGGGGCUAAUACCGGAUAAUAUUUUGAACCGCAUGGUUCAAAAGUGAAAGACGGUCUUGCUGUCACUUAUAGAUGGAUCCGCGCUGCAUUAGCUAGUUGGUAAGGUAACGGCUUACCAAGGCAACGAUGCAUAGCCGACCUGAGAGGGUGAUCGGCCACACUGGAACUGAGACACGGUCCAG
RNAcentral lists this ribosomal RNA (244 nucleotides) under uncultured Staphylococcus sp. RNAcentral's name for it is "partial 16S ribosomal RNA". It matches the Rfam family "Bacterial small subunit ribosomal RNA", at positions 96 to 334 of the family's 1533-position model. Lineage: Bacteria; Bacillati; Bacillota; Bacilli; Caryophanales; Staphylococcaceae. The record is from RNAcentral.